RNAcentral lists this transfer RNA (73 nucleotides) under Deltaproteobacteria bacterium. Its description in RNAcentral is "tRNA-Ile". It matches the Rfam family "tRNA". From Rfam's summary of the family: Transfer RNA (tRNA) molecules are approximately 80 nucleotides in length. The record is from RNAcentral. Lineage: Bacteria; Pseudomonadati; Myxococcota; Myxococcia.
GGGCUCAUAGCUCAGCGGUUAGAGCUGCCGGCUCAUAACCGGUCGGUCCCUGGUUCGAAUCCAGGUGGGCCCA